CCACUCCUACCUUCAAUUUAUUUGAAUUUUUCUUGAUUGAUUUUUUUUUGUUGGAAGUGGAUUGUGUAACAUAUUCAGUCUUGGUUGAGCAAUGAAAACUGGCCAGAUGUUCUUGCCCUUUUUUAUUUCUUUUUAGCCACUUCUCGCAUCCAGUUUACAAUGGGAUCCAAACACACAUACAGCUCCCGAAAAAAGCAUGCUCCAAUCUGUCUCAACACAAUUAAAUCAUAAAUUAGAAAAUGGUUGAAUCCCGAAAGAACACCCAGAAAUCCGUCUCAUUUUAAGCAGAACAGCGAUCAGAAAUAACGUUCAAAUAUUUACCUAUCAUCGAGACAUCAAAUAGACACUUUUCAAUUCAUUGAUGAGGAGACCACCUCGAACCCAAGGACAAAAUAAACCCAAUAUUAUAUUCAGAAAUCUUAUUAGGAUGGACAAAAAGAAAGAAAUAAGAGAUAGACAGAAUCAACAUAGUUCAACUGACUGCACCAAGAGUCUAUUUUAUCCAGGAUUUAACGACCUAAAAAUCAUUGAAAUAAAACAGGAAAAAUAAGUGAAAAGCCGCAAUUUUAUUAAAAAGGAAGUUUAAAGAGAGAUCUACAAAAGCAUCAAAAGGACUAAAUCGUGAUGACCAGGAUACCGUGCCUCAACCAAACUCUGGUCAACAGUAAUUCAACAAUCUCGAUUUGAAACACCACACAGUUUGGAAGUUGCUAAAAAUCGACGCAGAAGACAAAAGUAAAAAGGAUCAACCCCGCGUUGCAGAAAAUAUAUGAAGACGGCUCAUCCUUGAAAGCCUGUCACAUAGCCCGAAAAAUCCCCUAUUUGGAAGUCCAUACAGCUCCUAAGCAUAACUAGAUUGAAAGGAAAUUCAAGAGAAUAUUUCCAGUCAGUAUGAUAACAGGCAAGAUCCCCUGUAUCAAAUAGUAUUGCAAAAUUCAUUUUCCAAUAAGAGAACAUAUUCAAUAAGUUGGAGAAGUAACAGGGAUGUGUGCCCAGAGAUUACAGAGCACGCACAAUUUUUAGAACCACGAGACGAUGGGGGCGGACCACUAAC
Molecule: long non-coding RNA, 1054 nt
Filed under: Spirodela polyrhiza (greater duckweed)
Lineage: Eukaryota; Viridiplantae; Streptophyta; Magnoliopsida; Alismatales; Araceae
Description: long non-coding RNA (SPOL_LNC002429)
Source: RNAcentral